This 884-nucleotide ribosomal RNA is filed under the name uncultured Actinomycetes bacterium. RNAcentral describes it as "bacterial SSU rRNA". It matches the Rfam family "Bacterial small subunit ribosomal RNA", at positions 28 to 915 of the family's 1533-position model. Lineage: Bacteria; Bacillati; Actinomycetota; Actinomycetes. The record is from RNAcentral.
GACGAACGUUGGCGGUGCGCUUAAUGCAUGCAAGUCGAGGGAGAAGCAAUCGUUCCGUAAGGUUCGGCUGUGGAAACCGGCGAACGGGUGCGUAACACGUGAGAAACCUGCCCCCCAGAUCGGGAUAGCCCAGGGAAACUUGGAUUAAUACCGAAUAUUCUCUUUGGAUCGCAUGAUCCGUUGAGGAAAUGGUCCGCUGCUGGGGAAUGGUCUCGCGGCCUAUCAGCUUGUUGGUGAGGUAACGGCUCACCAAGGCUAAGACGGGUAGCUGGUCUGAGAGGACGAUCAGCCACACUGGAACUGAGACACGGUCCAGACUCCUACGGGAGGCAGCAGCAGGGAGUAUUGCACAAUGGGCGAAAGCCUGAUGCAGCGACACCGCGUGCGGGAUGAAUGCCUUAGGGUUGUAAACCGCUUUCGGGAGGGAAGAAAAUGACGGUACCUCCUAAAGAAGCUCCGGCCAACUACGUGCCAGCAGCCGCGGUAAUACGUAGGGAGCAAACGUUGUCCGGAUUUAUUGGGCGUAAAGGGCUCGUAGGCGGUUCAACAAGUCGGUCGUGAAAACUCGGGGCUCAACCCCGAGACGCCGGUCGAAACUGUUGUGACUAGAGUUCGGUAGAGGUGAGUGGAAUUCUCGGUGUGGCGGUGGAGUGCGCAGAUAUCGAGAGGAACACCAUUAGCGAAGGCGGCUCACUGGGCCGAUACUGACGCUGAGGAGCGAAAGCGUGGGGAGCAAACAGGAUUAGAUACCCUGGUAGUCCACGCCGUAAACGAUGAACACUAGGUGUGGCGGACUGAUUCACGUCUGCUGUGCCGCAGCUAACGCAUUAAGUGUUCCGCCUGGGGAGUACGGCCGCGAAGGCUAAAACUCAAAGGAAUUGACG